Molecule: small nuclear RNA, 100 nt
Organism: Rattus norvegicus (Norway rat)
Lineage: Eukaryota; Metazoa; Chordata; Mammalia; Rodentia; Muridae
Source: Ensembl
AUGUGCUACGGUAUAUACUAAAAUCAAAAUGAUACAGAGAAGAUUAACAUGGUCCCGGUGCAAGGAUGACACACAAAUUUGUGAAGCGUUCCAUAUUUUU